This 497-nucleotide ribosomal RNA is filed under the name uncultured bacterium. Its description in RNAcentral is "partial 16S ribosomal RNA". It matches the Rfam family "Bacterial small subunit ribosomal RNA", at positions 28 to 507 of the family's 1533-position model. The record is from RNAcentral.
GAUGAACGCUGGCGGCGUGCCUAAUACAUGCAAGUCGAGCGAACAGACGAGGAGCUUGCUCCUCUGACGUUAGCGGCGGACGGGUGAGUAACACGUGGAUAACCUACCUAUAAGACUGGGAUAACUUCGGGAAACCGGAGCUAAUACCGGAUAAUAUAUUGAACCGCAUGGUUCAAUAGUGAAAGACGGUUUUGCUGUCACUUAUAGCUGGCUCCGCGCCGCACUAGCUAGUUGGUAAGGUAACGGCUUACCAAGGCAACGAUGCGUAACCGACCUGAACGGGUGAUCGGCCACACGGGAACUGAGACACGGUCCAGACUCCUACGGGAGGCAGCAGUAGGGAAUCUUCCGCAAUGGGGGAAAGCCUGACGGAGCAACGCCGCGUGAGUGAUGAAGGUCUUCGGAUCGUAAAACUCUGUUAUUAGGGAAGAACAAAUGUGUAAGUAACUAUGCACGUCUUGACGGUACCUAAUCAGAAAGCCACGGCUAACUACGUG